Molecule: long non-coding RNA, 317 nt
Organism: Alligator sinensis (Chinese alligator)
Lineage: Eukaryota; Metazoa; Chordata; Crocodylia; Alligatoridae
Exons: 3
Source: RefSeq, a predicted model, not a curated record
CCCAGCAGCUGCCAGGGGGAGUGGAGUUUGUGCAGAAAAUCUCUAAGGAGAUACCUGGGUGCCUGCACUACUGCUGAAACCUCUCCUACUCCUCCAUCAGGAAUGAUUUUGAAAACAGGACAAAAGCAUUCAUUGGAAGAAACUGAUGGGAUGCCCAGGACUGGUGUUUAAAGUGGGAUUCUCCUCAGAAAAAAUGGGACAUAUGGUCACCUUAUAACAAAACACCUGUGAUGUAGCAGUUCUGCUCUAGCUCAUCUGAGACAGGCUCCAGCAUCCUGAAGGAAAGAGAAACGUACCGGCUGAGUCUGGCACCGAGG